AUACUAAAAAGACUUUAAGGGAUUAGAGUGUGCUAGCUUGCUAGAAUUUAGAUACAGGUGCUGCACGGCUGUCGUCAGCUCGUGUCGUGAGAUGUUGGGUUAAGUCCCGCAACGAGCGCAACCCUCGUGUUUAGUUGCUAACAGUUCGGCUGAGAACUCUAAACAGACUGCCUACGCAAGUAGGAGGAAGGUGAGGACGACGUCAAGUCAUCAUGGCCCUUACGGCCAGGGCUACACACGUGCUACAAUGGGGUAUACAAAGAGCAGCGAUACGGUGACGUGGAGCAAAUCUAGAAAAUGCCUCUCAGUUCGGAUUGUAGUCUGCAACUCGACUACAUGAAGUUGGAAUCGCUAGUAAUCGUAGAUCAGCAAUGCUACGGUGAAUACGUUCCCGGGUCUU
RNAcentral lists this ribosomal RNA (400 nucleotides) under uncultured Arcobacter sp. RNAcentral describes it as "bacterial SSU rRNA". It matches the Rfam family "Bacterial small subunit ribosomal RNA", at positions 986 to 1382 of the family's 1533-position model. The record is from RNAcentral. Lineage: Bacteria; Pseudomonadati; Campylobacterota; Epsilonproteobacteria; Campylobacterales; Arcobacteraceae.